Molecule: non-coding RNA, 586 nt
Organism: Nylanderia fulva
Lineage: Eukaryota; Metazoa; Arthropoda; Insecta; Hymenoptera; Formicidae
Source: RefSeq, a predicted model, not a curated record
AUCACAAUCGUCGUUAUAUAAAUAUGAAAUGCAAACUGUGAAAAAACUCGUCUAUGUUCUAAAUUAACCAUAACCUUAUAUUUCGGACGCAGCGCAGAGACUGACAGCGCCACUAUUCGAGUUAUGUUCGAACUAAAAUCAGUCACGUGACAAGCGCUCCGAAAUUAGUUUCAGCGCUCCUACUCGGGCUACGAGCGAAUUAAAGUCAGUCACGUGACAAGACUGCGAGGAGCAACUUCUUCGUACAAGCGCAAAUGAGAAUAAAGUACUUGAAUUAUACACACACAUACAAGCAGUACGAACGAAGAGAAAGAUGCGAUAAAUUUAUCGGAAAGUCUGGUUUGGCAGUUGUUAAAAUACUCCAUCGUGCAGGCAACCGAAAUAGAACGUGCCCUCUCUAACGCAUGGCUGUGCCUGGAGAAUAAACACGAUCGUCGAAUACUUCAGUCGGUGAGUAAGUUUAAACACUGCAUGGGGUCUACUAUUUAUACGGAUAAUAUGUUAUAUACGCGCGUUCACCACAAAUAAAUCUACGAGUCUGAUCAGAUUUACGUCAUUUAACACUUUGCAAAGAAAAAAAGAAUAA